RNAcentral lists this ribosomal RNA (467 nucleotides) under uncultured bacterium. RNAcentral describes it as "bacterial SSU rRNA". It matches the Rfam family "Bacterial small subunit ribosomal RNA", at positions 28 to 508 of the family's 1533-position model. The record is from RNAcentral.
GAUGAACGCUGGCGGCGUGCUUAACACAUGCAAGUCGAACGGUGAAAGAGAGCUUGCUCUCUGGAUCAGUGGCGAACGGGUGAGUAACACGUGAGCAAUCUGCCCCUGACUCUGGGAUAAGCGUUGGAAACGACGUCUAAUACCGGAUACGAGCUGCGAAGGCAUCUUCAGCAGCUGGAAAGAACUUCGGUCAGGGAUGAGCUCGCGGCCUAUCAGCUAGUUGGUGAGGUAAAGGCUCACCAAGGCGUCGACGGGUAGCCGGCCUGAGAGGGUGACCGGCCACACUGGGACUGAGACACGGCCCAGACUCCUACGGGAGGCAGCAGUGGGGAAUAUUGCACAAUGGGCGCAAGCCUGAUGCAGCAACGCCGCGUGAGGGACGACGGCCUUCGGGUUGUAAACCUCUUUUAGCAGGGAAGAAGCGAAAGUGACGGUACCUGCAGAAGAAGCACCGGCUAACUACGUGC